GAGUUUGAUCCUGGCUCAGGACGAACGCUGGCGGCGUGCUUAACACAUGCAAGUCGAACGGGGUUAAAUGAGUAGCAAUAUGAGUUUAACCUAGUGGCGGACGGGUGAGUAACGUGUGAGGAACCAACCCAUCAGCGGGGGACAACUACGGGAAACUGUAGCUAAUACCGCAUGAGACCACAGGAUGGCAUCAUCCAGGGGUCAAAGCAGCAAUGCGCUGAUGGACGGGCUCGCAUCCCAUUAGGUAGUUGGUAGGAUAACAGCCUACCAAGCCAGCGAUGGGUAGCCGGACUGAGAGGUUGACCGGCCACACUGGAACUGAGACACGGUCCAGACUCCUACGGGAGGCAGCAGUGGGGAAUAUUGGGCAAUGGGCGAAAGCCUGACCCAGCAACGCCGCGUAAGGGAAGAAGGUCUUCGGAUUGUAAACCUUUGUCGUAGAGGACGAAAGAAAUGACGGUACUCUGCAAGAAAGCCCCGGCUAACUACGUGCCAGCAGCCGCGGUAAUACGUAGGGGGCGAGCGUUGUCCGGAAUUACUGGGCGUAAAGGGUGCGUAGGCGGCCUAUCAAGUCGUAUGUGAAAAGCCCGGGCUUAACCUGGGAGGGUCAUGCGAAACUGAUAGGCUUGAGUACAGGAGAGGGAAGCGGAAUUCCUAGUGUAGCGGUGAAAUGCGUAGAUAUUAGGAGGAACACCAGUGGCGAAAGGCGGCUUUCUGGACUGACACUGACGCUGAAACACGAAAGCGUGGGGAGCAAACAGGAUUAGAUACCCUGGUAGUCCACGCGGUAAACGAUGGAUACUAGGUGUAGGACGCGAUUAGCGGACUGUGCCGGAGCAAACGCAAUAAGUAUCCCGCCUGGGGAGUACGGCCGCAAGGUUGAAACUCAAAGGAAUUGACGGGGGCCCGCACAAGCAGCGGAGCAUGUGGUUUAAUUCGAAGCAACGCGAAGAACCUUACCAGGUCUUGACAUCCAAUUAAAGCUAGUGAAAGCUAGUGUCCCUUCGGGGGAAUUGAGACAGGUGGUGCAUGGUUGUCGUCAGCUCGUGUCGUGAGAUGUUGGGUUAAGUCCCGCAACGAGCGCAACCCUUAUUGCCAGUUACCAGCGGGUAAAGCCGGGGACUCUGGUGAGACUGCCGGGGACAACUCGGAGGAAGGAGGGGACGACGUCAAAUCAUCAUGCCCCUUAUGACCUGGGCUACACACGUGCUACAAUGGCCGAAACAGAGGGAAGCAAGAGCGUAAGCUGGAGCCAAGCCCAAAAAGACGGUCCCAGUUCGGAUUGUGGGCUGCAACCCGCCCACAUGAAGUCGGAGUUGCUAGUAAUCGCGAAUCAGCAUGUCGCGGUGAAUGCGUUCCCGGGCCUUGUACACACCGCCCGUCACACCAUGGGAGUUGAGAGCACCCGAAGCCGGUGAGGUAACCGCAAGGGACCAGCCGUCGAAGGUGAGAUCGAUGACUAGGGUGAAGUCGUAACAAGGUAACC
RNAcentral lists this ribosomal RNA (1486 nucleotides) under uncultured bacterium. RNAcentral describes it as "16S ribosomal RNA". It matches the Rfam family "Bacterial small subunit ribosomal RNA". The record is from RNAcentral.